GAUGAACGCUGGCGGCGUGCUUAACACAUGCAAGUCGAACGGAAAGGCCAGUGCUUGCACUGGUACUCGAGUGGCGAACGGGUGAGUAACACGUGGGUGAUCUGCCCUGCACUUCGGGAUAAGCCUGGGAAACUGGGUCUAAUACCGGAUAGGACAAUGGUUUGGAUGCCGUUGUGGAAAGUUUUUUCGGUGUGGGAUGAGCUCGCGGCCUAUCAGCUUGUUGGUGGGGUAAUGGCCUACCAAGGCGUCGACGGGUCGCCGGCCUGAGAGGGUGUACGGCCACAUUGGAACUGAGAUACGGCACAGACUCCUACGGGAGGCAGCAGUGGGGAAUAUUGCACAAUGGGCGCAAGCCUGAUGCAGCGACGCCGCGUGGGGGAUGACGGCCUUCGGGUUGUAAACUCCUUUCGCUAGGGACGAAGCGUAUUUGUGACGGUACCUGGAGAAGAAGCACCGGCUAACUACGUG
Molecule: ribosomal RNA, 468 nt
Filed under: uncultured bacterium
Lineage: Bacteria
Description: partial 16S ribosomal RNA
Rfam family: Bacterial small subunit ribosomal RNA
Source: RNAcentral